This 608-nucleotide ribosomal RNA is filed under the name Klebsiella pneumoniae. RNAcentral describes it as "partial 23S ribosomal RNA". It matches the Rfam family "Bacterial large subunit ribosomal RNA", at positions 896 to 1506 of the family's 2925-position model. The record is from RNAcentral. Lineage: Bacteria; Pseudomonadati; Pseudomonadota; Gammaproteobacteria; Enterobacterales; Enterobacteriaceae.
UCGGGGGUAGAGCACUGUUUCGGCUAGGGGGUCAUCCCGACUUACCAACCCGAUGCAAACUACGAAUACCGAAGAAUGUUAUCACGGGAGACACACGGCGGGUGCUAACGUCCGUCGUGAAGAGGGAAACAACCCAGACCGCCAGCUAAGGUCCCAAAGUCAUGGUUAAGUGGGAAACGAUGUGGGAAGGCACAGACAGCCAGGAUGUUGGCUUAGAAGCAGCCAUCAUUUAAAGAAAGCGUAAUAGCUCACUGGUCGAGUCGGCCUGCGCGGAAGAUGUAACGGGGCUAAACCAUGCACCGAAGCUGCGGCAGCGACACUAUGUGUUGUUGGGUAGGGGAGCGUUCUGUAAGCCUGCGAAGGUGUGCUGUGAGGCAUGCUGGAGGUAUCAGAAGUGCGAAUGCUGACAUAAGUAACGAUAAAGCGGGUGAAAAGCCCGCUCGCCGGAAGACCAAGGGUUCCUGUCCAACGUUAAUCGGGGCAGGGUGAGUCGACCCCUAAGGCGAGGCCGAAAGGCGUAGUCGAUGGGAAACAGGUUAAUAUUCCUGUACUUGGUGUUACUGCGAAGGGGGGACGGAGAAGGCUAUGUUAGCCGGGCGACGGUUGUC